Molecule: ribosomal RNA, 253 nt
Filed under: uncultured bacterium
Lineage: Bacteria
Description: partial 16S ribosomal RNA
Rfam family: Archaeal small subunit ribosomal RNA
Source: RNAcentral
UACCCGCAGCACAAGUGGUGGUCAUUAUCAUUGGGCCUAAAGCGUCCGUAGCUGGCUUGUUAGAUGCCUGGGUAAAUCGAUGCGCUCAACGUAUCGAAUUCCGGGUAGACCGGCAAGCUCGAGACCGGGAGAGGUGUAGGCUACUCGAGGGGUAGGGGUAAAAUCCUGUAAUCCUUCGGGGAGGACCAGUGGCGAAGGCGCUACACUAGAACGGCUCUGACAGUGAGGGACGAAGCCCUGGGGCGCAAACCGG